GCACACAAGAUCCUGGGCCGAACCUACUUUAACUUUGUCCUCCCUCCAAUUUAUUUUGUUGUUUGAGACCCGGGAACGACCAGCGAGCGUAAUGGCGGAGGAGAACGACACGUGGAGACCAUCAAGCCUUUGCUUCGAUUGGGACGGCGCUACUGUGGUGCAGUAUACCUACAGAAACGAGAGCUGAGCCGAAGUGGACACAAAGAAAAAGCGAGUUCCGCGCAAUGGUACAAACUUCUGAAAUAACUUCAACCCAGACAGGAGGGACGCUUUUAUGAGGUGGCCUCCUGUAGCGCUUCAUCUGUUACCGAGCGGAAAGCUGACCAAUAAGCCCCCGCAUACUACCUGAAGGCAUCAAGUCGGCAGGAACGAGACUCUCGCUAUGAAUGAAAAGAAGAAGGCAACUGCAGUGCGUUCGCCGCAUUCCUGUAGUUGACGUCUAUGGAGCGCGGCAGGUGGGAAGCCACUGAUCUGAACCACUAAUAAAUCUCCUAUGACCCUUCGGCGAAAACAUACGUAACUGCAAGCUCAAUUUCCUAGGCGUUGUAGUACACACAAAUGUCGACUGACUCAUGUGCUGGAGGGGAUUGUCUUGAAUCCUGUUGGCGCAGAUACACCAAUAGGUUACUCUAAUGGGCUGGAAGUUCUCCUGAAGCUCUCCUUUCAUGUUCUGUAGGCGCAGUCUCUUCAACUUUGCACUUCAGCAAGCACAAAGUCGAUCAUGAAUCACCUACUGGCCCAAUCGUCCACUUUGAUCAGCACAAAGAAAUUCAGAAGAGCGAAUUUUGGCGUUUUUGCGCUGACAACAGCGAUUGUUAAUUCAACAUAAUAUAGUAACUAUUCCUAGAA
Molecule: long non-coding RNA, 849 nt
Organism: Rhipicephalus sanguineus (brown dog tick)
Lineage: Eukaryota; Metazoa; Arthropoda; Arachnida; Ixodida; Ixodidae
Exons: 5
Source: RefSeq, a predicted model, not a curated record